Molecule: ribosomal RNA, 325 nt
Filed under: uncultured eukaryote
Lineage: Eukaryota
Description: partial 18S ribosomal RNA
Rfam family: Eukaryotic small subunit ribosomal RNA
Source: RNAcentral
CCCUUAGAUGUCCUGGGCCGCACGCGCGCUACACUGAUGCAUUCAACGAGUAUUUCCUUGGCCGAGAGGCCUGGGCAAUCUUUUAAACCUGCAUCGUGAUAGGGAUAGAUUAUUGCAAUUAUUAAUCUUGAACGAGGAAUUCCUAGUAAACGCAAAUCAUCAAUUUGCAUUGAUUACGUCCCUACCCUUUGUACACACCGCCCGUCGCACCUACCGAUUGAAUGGUCCGGUGAAAUCUCGGGAUUGUGGCCAGUUCACUUUAUUGGGAGUUGGCUGCGAGAACUUGCUUAAACCUUAUCAUUUAGAGGAAGGUGAAGUCGUAACA